ACUAAGGAUUUCAUUAAAUCCACCCAAAAUGUCAGGAAUUAUUAUU
Non-coding RNA from Picea glauca (white spruce), 46 nucleotides. Lineage: Eukaryota; Viridiplantae; Streptophyta; Pinopsida; Pinales; Pinaceae. The record is from Rfam.